UACGGAAGGCAGCAGUGGGGAAUAUUGCACAAUGGGCGAAAGCCUGAUGCAGCUAUGCCGCGUGUAUGAAGAAGGCCUUAGGGUUGUAAAGUACUUUCAUCGGGGAGGAAAAAACAAAACUAAUAAUUUUAUUUCUUGACGUUACCCGAAAAAGAAGCACCGGCUAACUCCAUGCCAGCAGCCGCGGUAAUACGGAGGGUGCUAGCGUUAAUCAGAAUUACUGGGCGUAAAGAGCGCGUAGGUGGUUUUUUUAAGUCAGAUGUGAAAUCCCUGGGCUUAACCUGGAACUGCAUUUUGAAACUGAAAUACUAGAGUAUCGUAGAGGGAGGUAGAAUUCUAGGUGUAGCGGUGAAAUGCGUAGAUAUCUGGAGGAAUACCUGUGGCGAAAGCGGGCCUCCUAAACGAAUACUGACACUGAGGGUGCGAAAGCGUGGGGAGCAAACAGGGAUUAGAUACC
This 457-nucleotide ribosomal RNA is filed under the name uncultured bacterium. Its description in RNAcentral is "bacterial SSU rRNA". It matches the Rfam family "Bacterial small subunit ribosomal RNA", at positions 340 to 786 of the family's 1533-position model. The record is from RNAcentral.